CCUACGGGAGACAGCAGUGAGGAAUAUUGGUCAAUGGACGAGAGUCUGAACCAGCCAAGUAGCGUGAAGGAUGACUGCCCUAUGGGUUGUAAACUUCUUUUAUAUGGGAAUAAAAUGUUCCACGUGUGGGAUUUUGUAUGUACCAUAUGAAUAAGGAUCGGCUAACUCCGUGCCAGCAGCCGCGGUAAUACGGAGGAUCCGAGCGUUAUCCGGAUUUAUUGGGUUUAAAGGGAGCGUAGGUGGAUUGUUAAGUCAGUUGUGAAAGUUUGCGGCUCAACCGUACAAUUGCAGUUGAAACUGGCAGUCUUGAGUACAGUAGAGGUGGGCGGAAUUCGUGGUGUAGCGGUGAAAUGCGUAGAUAUCACGAAGAACUCCGAUUGCGAAGGCAGUUCACUGGACUGCAACUGACACUGAGGCUCGAAAGUGUGGGUAUCAAACAGGAUUAGAUACCCUGGUAGUC
This 460-nucleotide ribosomal RNA is filed under the name uncultured bacterium. Its description in RNAcentral is "partial 16S ribosomal RNA". It matches the Rfam family "Bacterial small subunit ribosomal RNA", at positions 338 to 795 of the family's 1533-position model. The record is from RNAcentral.